Molecule: ribosomal RNA, 2691 nt
Filed under: Begonia fuchsioides
Lineage: Eukaryota; Viridiplantae; Streptophyta; Magnoliopsida; Cucurbitales; Begoniaceae
Description: eukaryotic LSU rRNA
Rfam family: Eukaryotic large subunit ribosomal RNA
Source: RNAcentral
CAAGGUGCCGGAGAGGGUGAGAGCCCCGUCGAGGGAAGCGGAUGAAAAGGACCGCGAAGGAAAGAUGAAAAGGACUUUGAGAAAAGAGUCAAAGAGUACUUGAAAUUGUCAGGAGGGAAGCAGAUGGGGGCCGGCGGUGCAUCCCAGUCGGAUGUGGAAUGGCGAUGAGCAGGUCUGCCAAUCUACUCGGGGCAUGGACCGACGCAGAUUUGGGCGGCGUCGCAAGCCCGGGCCUUUGUUGUGCUCGCGGAGAUGUCGUCGCCCCAAUCGUGGCUGGCAGCGUGCGCCCUUGGCGUGCUCAGGCAUCAGCACUCUUCAGGCGUCGGCCUGCGGGCUCCCCAUUCGGCCCAUCUUGAAACACGGACCAAGGAGUCUGACAUGUGUGCGAGUCAAUGGGCCAGAAAACCCGUGAGUUGCAAGGAAGCUGAGUGGUGGGAUCCCCUUGAGGGUUGCACUGCCGACCGACCUUGAUCUUCUAAGAAGGGUUCGAGUGUGAGCAUGCCUGUCGGGACCCAAAAGAUGGUGAACUAUGCCUGAGCAGGGCGAAGCCACAGGAAACUCUAGUGGAGGCCUGCAACGAUACUGACGUGCAAAUCGUUUGUCUGACUUGUGUAUAGGGGCAAAAGACUAAUCGAACCGUCUAGUAGCUGGUUCCCUCCGAAGUUUCCCUCAGAAUAGCAGGAGCCCAUGGGCGAGUUCUAUCGGGUAAAGCCAAUGAUUCGAGGCAUCGGGGGCGCAACGCCCUCGACCUAUUCUAAAAAUUUAAAUAGGUAGGAUGGCGCGGCUGCUUUAUUUAGCCGUGCCACGAAAUCGAGAGCUCCAAGUGGGCCAUUUUUGGUAAGCAAAAUUGGCAAUGCAGAAUGAACCGAAAGCUGGGUUAGGACACCCAACUGCGCGUUAACCUAGAACCCACAAAGGGCCGAAAAGGGGAAAGGUUCCAUGUAAAAUGCACUUGCACAUGGGUUAGUCGAUCCUAAGAGAAAGGGCAAUCCUGUUUGACAGUGCCCAGCGCGCGAGCAUCGAAAGGGAAUCAGGUUAAAAUUCCUGAACCGGGACGUCGGGAAGAGUUAUCUUUUCUGUUUAAUAGCCUGCCCACCCUGGAAAUAGCUCAGCUAGAGGUAGGGUCUAGCAGGUGGAAGAGCACCGCACGUCGCUCGGUGUCUGGUACGUCCUUGACGGCCCUUGAAAAUUUGGAGGACUGAGUGCCUCCCACGCCCGGUCGUACUCAUAACCGCAUCAGGUCUCCAAGAUGAACAGCCUCUGGUCGAUGGAACAAUGUAGACAAGGGAAGUCGGAAAAAUGGAUCCGUAACCUUGGGAAAAGGAUUAGCUCUAACGGCUGGGCACGGGGGUCCCUGUCUCGAGUCCGUCGGCUGUCAAUGGACUGCUCGAGCUGCUCUCACGGCGAUAGCUGGUCGUCGCGUGCCUGCCGGGGGACGGACUGGGAGCGGUUCCUUUGGGGGCCUUCCCCUGGCAACGAACAGUUGACUCAGAACUGGUACGGAGAAGGGGAAUCCGACUGUUUAAUUAAAACAAAGCAUUGCGAUGGUCCUUGUGGAUGCUCACGCAAUGUGAUUUCUGCCCAGUGCUUUGAAUGUCAAAGUGAAGAAAUUCAACCAAGCGCAGGUAAAAGGCGGGAGUAACUAUGACUCUCUUAAGGUAGCCAAAUACCUCGUCAUCUAAUUAGUGACGCGCAUGAAUGGAUUAACGAGAUUCCCACUGUCCCUGUCUACUAUCCAGCAAAACCACAGCCAAGGGAAUGGGCUUGGCAGAAUCAGCGGGGAAAGAAGACCCUGUUGAGCUUGACUCUAGUCCGACUCUGGGAAAUGACUUAAGAGGUGUAGGAUAAGUGGGAGCUGGAAAUGGCGAAAGUGAAAUACCUUUACUUUUAAUGUUAUUUUACUUAUUCCGUGAAAAGGAAGCAGGGCAACACCCCUUUUUUGUACCCAAGACCCACCUCGAUGGGUCGAUCCGGGCGGAAGACAUUAUCAGGUGAGGAGUUUGGCUGGGGCGGCACAUCUGUUAAAAGAUAAUGCAGGUGUCCUAAGAUGAGCUCAACGAGAACAGAAAUAUCGUGUGGAACAAAAGGGUAAAAGCUCGUUUGAUUCUAAUUUCCAGUAAGAAUAUGAAUCGUGAAAGCGUGGCCUAUCAAUCCUUUAGACCUUCAGAAUUUGAAGCUAGAGGUGUCAGAAAACUUACCAAAGGGAUAACUGGCUUGUGGCAGCCAUGCGUUCAUAGCGACGUUGCUUUUUGAUCCUUCGAUGUCAGCUCUUUCUAUCAUUGUGAAGCAGAAUUCACCAAGUGUUGGAUUGUUCACCCACCAAUAGGGAACGUGAGCUGGGUUUAGACCGUCGUGAGGCAAGUUUAGUUUUACCCUACUGAUGACAGCGUAGCAAUAGUAAUUCAACCUAGUACGAGAGGAGCCGUUGAUUCACACAAUUUGUCAUCGCGCUUGGUUGAAAAGCCUGUGGCGCGAAGCCACCGUGCGCUGGAUUAUGACUGAACGCCUCUAAGUUAGAAUCCGGGCUAGAAGCGACGCACGUACCCGCCGCCCGAUUGCCGACCAGCAGUAGGGGCUCUCACAACCGAGUUGUUACGAGGGCCGCCUUGAAGUGUUAUUUCAACCGAGCGGCAGGUAGAAUCCCUUGCAGACAACUUAAAUACGCGACCAGGUAUUGUAAGUGGCAGAGUG